Non-coding RNA from Vigna umbellata (rice bean), 697 nucleotides. Lineage: Eukaryota; Viridiplantae; Streptophyta; Magnoliopsida; Fabales; Fabaceae. The record is from RefSeq and is a predicted model, not a curated record.
GUAUGUCGUAUAUCUGUUACCUCGCCUUUAUCGAAAUCCAUGUUCCUUCAUCUUAGUUUUUAGAGAAAUAGUAAUUGUGAAUUUUUCUUCAGAAGGUUGCAGAGGGAAAUGAUUUAUUCAAAAUAAGCCAAUCUAAAUAUGUAGUUACAUUUAGACUAGAAUUCAAUACGAUAGCUGAAUUUUAAUUGCACAUUAGAGAGUUGAAGUUCAAAAUUUAUGACAGAAAGCUAUUUCUUCAGGUUGAUAUGACUGCACUCAAUCAUAUGACUGAUGAGGAUCUGAAGGCCAUGGGUAUACCAAUGGGACCAAGAAAGAAGAUACUUUUAGCCUUGGAGGCAAAAGGCUGACAUCUUGGUCGUGUAUUUGUAUACCCUAGUUAUAACUUACUGCACAUUAAAAGGCUUAUAAUUAUGUUUAUACUUUGAACCUGGUCAAGCUUGCUUGUAAUUUUUUAGAAAUCCUUUUGGUGCUUCUAUUGCCAUUUCAAUCUUCUUUCUUCCCAUGCGUUGCUGAAAGUGGCCUAAACAAGCUAUUGACAUUUAAAAGUAGGAAAUCAUGAAGAUUAAUUGAUAAGAGUUUUUUUGUUUAGCUGGAGGGACCUGGUUUGAUGGGUGAUGGUGAUGGUGGAUGCUUUGUAAAAUGAAGUUUGUCUGUUUUCCUUUUUUACUUUGAAACCAAACAUGCUUUUCCUUUUUAA